GAUGAACGCUAGCUAUAGGCUUAACACAUGCAAGUCGAGGGGCAGCAUGGUCUUAGCUUGCUAAGGCCGAUGGCGACCGGCGCACGGGUGAGUAACGCGUAUGCAACCUACCUUUAACAGGGGGAUAACACUGAGAAAUUGGUACUAAUACCCCAUAAUAUCAUAGAAGGCAUCUUUUAUGGUUGAAAUUCCGAUGGUUAGAGAUGGGCAUGCGUUGUAUUAGCUAGUUGGUGAGGUAACGGCCCACCAAGGCGACGAUCAGUAGGGGUUCUGAGAGGAAGGUCCCCCACAUUGGAACUGAGACACGGUCCAAACUCCUACGGGAGGCAGCAGUGAGGAAUAUUGGUCAAUGGACGAGAGUCUGAACCAGCCAAGUAGCGUGCAGGAUGACGGCCCUAUGGGUUGUAAACUGCUUUAUAGGGAUAAAGUGGGAGUCGUGACUCUUUUUGCAUGUACCUUAUGAAUAAGGACCGGCUAAUUCCGUGCCAGCAGCCG
Molecule: ribosomal RNA, 495 nt
Filed under: uncultured bacterium
Lineage: Bacteria
Description: bacterial SSU rRNA
Rfam family: Bacterial small subunit ribosomal RNA
Source: RNAcentral